CCUGACUGCUAUCGGAUUGAUACUAAGCCAUGCGAGUCAUUGUAGCAAUACAAGGCAGACGGCUCAGUAACGCGUAGUCAAUCUACCCUAUGGACGGGAAUAACCUCGGGAAACUGAGAAUAAUGCCCGAUAGAACAUUAUACCUGGAACGGUUUAUGUUUCAAAUGAUUUAUCGCCGUAGGAUGGGACUGCGGCCUAUCAGUCUGUUGGUGAGGUAAUGGCCCACCAAGACUAUUACAGGUACGGGCUCUGAGAGGAGUAGCCCGGAGAUGGGUACUGAGACACGGACCCAGGCCCUAUGGGGCGCAGCAGGCGAGAAAACUUUGCAAUGUGCGAAAGCACGACAAGGUUAAUCCGAGUGGUUUCUGCUAAAGAAACCUUUUGCUAGUCCUAGAAACACUAGUGAAUAAGGGGUGGGCAAGUUCUGGUGU
RNAcentral lists this ribosomal RNA (431 nucleotides) under uncultured archaeon. RNAcentral describes it as "bacterial SSU rRNA". It matches the Rfam family "Archaeal small subunit ribosomal RNA", at positions 24 to 458 of the family's 1478-position model. The record is from RNAcentral.